RNAcentral lists this ribosomal RNA (460 nucleotides) under uncultured bacterium. RNAcentral's name for it is "partial 16S ribosomal RNA". It matches the Rfam family "Bacterial small subunit ribosomal RNA", at positions 338 to 795 of the family's 1533-position model. The record is from RNAcentral.
CCUACGGGCGGCAGCAGUGAGGAAUAUUGGUCAAUGGGUGCGAGCCUGAACCAGCCAAGUAGCGUGAAGGAUGACUGCCCUACGGGUUGUAAACUUCUUUUAUAAAGGAAUAAAGCGAGGCAUGUGUGCCUUUUUGUAUGUACUUUAUGAAUAAGGAUCGGCUAACUCCGUGCCAGCAGCCGCGUGAAUACGGAGGAUCCGAGCGUUAUCCGGAUUGAUUGGGGUUAAAGGGAGCGUAGAUGGGUUGUUAAGUCAGUUGUGAAAGUUUGCGGCUCAACCGUAAAAUUGCAAUUGAUACUGGCAGCCUUGAGUACAGUUGAGGUAGGCGGAAUUCGUGGUGUAGCGGUGAAAUGCUUAGAUAUCACGAAGAACUCCGAUUGCGAAGGCAGCUUACUAAACUGCCACUGACAUUGAUGCUCGAAAGUGUGGGUAUCAAACAGGAUUAGAUACCCGAGUAGUC